This 328-nucleotide ribosomal RNA is filed under the name uncultured eukaryote. RNAcentral's name for it is "partial 18S ribosomal RNA". It matches the Rfam family "Eukaryotic small subunit ribosomal RNA", at positions 1470 to 1796 of the family's 1831-position model. The record is from RNAcentral.
CCCUUAGAUGUCCUGGGCCGCACGCGCGUUACACUGAUGCAUUCAACGAGCUUAUAACCUUGGCCGAGAGGCCUGGGCAAACUUGUUAACGUGCAUCGUGAUAGGGAUAGAUUAUUGAAAUUAUUAAUCUUGAACGAGGAAUUCCUAGUAAACGCAGAUCAUCAAUCUGCAUUGAUUACGUCCCUGCCCUUUGUACACACCGCCCGUCGCACCUACCGAUUGGAUGGUCCGGUGAAGCCUCGGGAUUGUGGUUCUUGCCGCUUUAUUGUGGCGUGACCGCGAGAACUUGUCUAAACCUUAUCAUCUAGAGGAAGGUGAAGUCGUAACA